ACGAACGCUGGCGGCGUGCCUAAUCCAUGCAAGUAGAACGCUGAAGAGAGGAGCUUGCUCUUCUUGGAUGAGUUGCGAACGGGUGAGUAACGCGUAGGUAACCUGCCUUGUAGCGGGGGAUAACUAUUGGAAACGAUAGCUAAUACCGCAUAACAAUGGAUGACACAUGUCAUUUAUUUGAAAGGGGCAAUUGCUCCACUACAAGAUGGACCUGCGUUGUAUUAGCUAGUAGGUGAGGUAAUGGCUCACCUAGGCGACGAUACAUAGCCGACCUGAGAGGGUGAUCGGCCACACUGGGACUGAGACACGGCCCAGACUCCUACGGGAGGCAGCAGUAGGGAAUCUUCGGCAAUGGGGGCAACCCUGACCGAGCAACGCCGCGUGAGUGAAGAAGGUUUUCGGAUCGUAAAGCUCUGUUGUAAGUCAAGAACGGGUGUGAGAGUGGAAAGUUCACACUGUGACGGUAGCUUACCAGAAAGGGACGGCUAACUACGUG
This 496-nucleotide ribosomal RNA is filed under the name uncultured bacterium. RNAcentral describes it as "partial 16S ribosomal RNA". It matches the Rfam family "Bacterial small subunit ribosomal RNA", at positions 29 to 507 of the family's 1533-position model. The record is from RNAcentral.